RNAcentral lists this transfer RNA (90 nucleotides) under Rubritalea squalenifaciens DSM 18772. It matches the Rfam family "tRNA". Rfam says of the family: Transfer RNA (tRNA) molecules are approximately 80 nucleotides in length. Their secondary structure includes four short double-helical elements and three loops (D, anti-codon, and T loops). Further hydrogen bonds mediate the characteristic L-shaped molecular structure. tRNAs have two regions of fundamental functional importance: the anti-codon, which is responsible for specific mRNA codon recognition, and the 3' end, to which the tRNAs corresponding amino acid is attached (by aminoacyl-tRNA synthetases). tRNAs cope with the degeneracy of the genetic code in two manners: having more than one tRNA (with a specific anti-codon) for a particular amino acid; and 'wobble' base-pairing, i.e. permitting non-standard base-pairing at the 3rd anti-codon position. Lineage: Bacteria; Pseudomonadati; Verrucomicrobiota; Verrucomicrobiia; Verrucomicrobiales; Rubritaleaceae. The record is from Rfam by way of RNAcentral.
GGAGGGAUGGCUGAGCUGGUUUAAGGCGCUCGACUCGAAAUCGAGUGUGGGCUUUCAGGCCCACCGUGGGUUCGAAUCCCACUCCCUCUG